Long non-coding RNA from Anneissia japonica, 1263 nucleotides. RefSeq lists it as uncharacterized. The transcript is spliced from 3 exons. The record is from RefSeq and is a predicted model, not a curated record. NCBI's taxonomy places the organism in Eukaryota, Metazoa, Echinodermata, Crinoidea, Comatulida, Comatulidae.
CAGUAUUCAGCAAUUCCGCAAACAAGAAGAUAAGAGGAAGGUCUGAUUGCGUUGUUUUGAGUGAUGUGAUUUUCACUUACGUUACAAUCGCAACACAUCAUGCACAUGAUUCUUGAAGUUACCUAAAACACGAAGGUUCAUAAAAAAUCUUGAUCAUGUGACCGUGACUCCUAGCGCGGAUGACAUUGAGUUGAUUCAACAGAUGUCGUUGCGCAAUCUGAAGAACUAAUUUAUACUUGAAAUUGGCAACUGCAAUAAUUAUUAUUGACUGCUCAGCCAGAAACCAAAAACUGAAAUGAACUUUCAACGAUAUACUGUACUUAGAAUCUAGCGUUUCUGACUCGGAACAAAGUCCAUUGGCAAGAUGUUCAUGGAGCUGUUGCUUAAUGGUUAAGAUGCUUGUCUUGCAAUACCAUGAUCCUGGGUUCGAAUCCUGAGACACCAGGAUAUUUUCUCGUGGCUAAAAACAACUUCACUCCCUAAAGCCUGGUUUCAAUAACAUUGCUGCACUGUUGCUAUAGCAAUCGCUACACUACUUAAUAUAGACGUUUCCCCUAUUCGACCUAACCAAUUAGCUGCUCCAAAAGCUGCUGGUGAUGGCUCGUAGCGAUUUUGUGGAAACCAGGCCUACACCUCAAAAAAAGGACUUAAUUGCUUUAUAGAACAUUUAAGUUGCGGGGCACUUGCUAGGUAAGAAUGCAAGAAGUUUAUAAAAUAAUAAUCCUGAUCAAUGUAUAAUUGUACCCUAAGUUAAUUUUUGGAUUGUAUAGUUUUAUAUCUUGAUAAAUAUGUAUCUCAAUAAAAAUAAAAUGUAAAAGUAAAUGUAACAUUUUACUGUCAUAACAAUCUCCUUAAUUCAGUUACGAUUUUAGAUGUAUUUUUUCCUUCAUUCAUUUAAACACAGCCUUGAUAAAUUUUGGUAAUUUGAGUCCUGUAAGCCAUUUAGUCUUUAGUGAUAAUUGCGUGUACCGUGUAUAUUUCAAUAAAUCCAAUGAUUAUGUGCAAUCAAAACAAUAACCAUAUACCUGUAGGAUUUACCAGUACAGCACAAAGAAAGUUAACAGUUCUAAGAAUAAAAAUAACAAUAAAGACAAUAUGACCUACUUAAUGUUAUCCUGGAUAUGGUUAUAAGAGACAUGGGUACAAAUUUGCUAAGCUCAAGUAUUUUAAUACUUAAUAGAUUGUUCAAAGAAUAACAAAACUUUAAUAAAUAGAUUGUUCAAAGAAUAAGUUCCAAUUAACUUUUAUUUGGAGUGCAAGUCC